This 370-nucleotide ribosomal RNA is filed under the name uncultured Pelotomaculum sp. RNAcentral's name for it is "bacterial SSU rRNA". It matches the Rfam family "Bacterial small subunit ribosomal RNA", at positions 1016 to 1382 of the family's 1533-position model. Lineage: Bacteria; Bacillati; Bacillota; Clostridia; Eubacteriales; Desulfotomaculaceae. The record is from RNAcentral.
CACCUCGGGUGACAGGGAGACAGGUGGUGCAUGGUUGUCGUCAGCUCGUGUCGUGAGAUGUUGGGUUAAGUCCCGCAACGAGCGCAACCCCUACGUUUAGUUGCUAACGCGUGAAGGCGAGCACUCUAGACGAACUGCCGUUGACAAAACGGAGGAAGGUGGGGAUGACGUCAAAUCAUCAUGCCCCUUAUGUUCUGGGCUACACACGUGCUACAAUGGCCGGUACAGACGGAGGCGAAGCCGCGAGGCGGAGCAAAUCCGAAAAAGCCGGUCUCAGUUCGGAUUGCAGGCUGCAAUUCGCCUGCAUGAAGUCGGAAUCGCUAGUAAUCGCAGGUCAGCAUACUGCGGUGAAUACCGGUUCCCGGGCCUU